GCUGGGCGUGGUGGCGCGUGCCUGUAGUCCCAGCUAUUAGGGAGGCUGAGGCUGGAGGAUCUCUUGAAUCCAGGAGUUCUGGGCUGUAGUGUGCUAUGCUGAUCGGGUGUCCGCACUAAGUUCAGCAUCAAUAUGGUGACCUCCCGGGAGCGGGAAACCACCAGGUUGCCUAAGGAGGGGUGAACCAGCCUAGGUCGGAAACGGAGCAGGUCAAAACUCCCGUGCUGAUCAGUAGUGGGAUCACGCAUGUGAAUAGCCACUGCACUUCAGCCUGGGCAACAUAGCGAGACCCUGUCUCA
This is an unclassified non-coding RNA of Aotus nancymaae (Ma's night monkey), 299 nucleotides long. It matches the Rfam family "Metazoan signal recognition particle RNA". From Rfam's summary of the family: The signal recognition particle (SRP) is a universally conserved ribonucleoprotein. It is involved in the co-translational targeting of proteins to membranes. Lineage: Eukaryota; Metazoa; Chordata; Mammalia; Primates; Aotidae. The record is from Ensembl.